CUGAAUCUGCCCUCAGAAUUGAGCCAAAGUAUUUGGUCAUAAAUGAUAAUUUUACAUGGAAACCCACACAUUUCGUUUCAGGCAAAUACAUAACAAUUCUAAUAAAAUACUAGUAAUUCUUUUUAAAGAUAUAUUGCAUGAAUUCGCAAUCAAUCAGAUUUGGGAGUCUAGGUACGUCUACUUCCACCACGCUACUGAAUACCAUCCUGCUCUACUUGUCAUUCUCACCAAAGUGAGUGAGUAACUUUCCACCCAGAGCCCACAUAGUCGUCGUUCAUAGUCCUUCUUAUCAGAAACGACGACGACGACAAUUUCCUACCACAACAAUGCAUGGUUCGCUUCGUGGAAAUUCUCUUUCACACACUCAUACAUCGAUCAUCGUACCCAGCAGUCGCCUUCGGGGGGAGCAUUCGACAACGUGACAUAAAUAUACAUGCUUUUGAUAAAUGGACACUACAUGCUGGGAGUCUUAUUACGGUGGAAAGAGCGAGAGAGUGAGAACCCCACUGUGACUGACUCUCUCUUUUGAUUGUAACUUCUCACACGAUCCUGUUGUGUUCGUUGAGGUUACUGCGUUUUCCUCAGGCUUUCCUCGCCAAGUAAGCGAUGAGUGACUUUCCACUGUGUUUGACAGAUUGUACACAACAUCACGGUUCAGCAGCUGUCAAAAGUGUUCAAGUUCAAGAGGUUUCGAAUGUGUGAACUUUUCAACAUGUUUUCAAUUAUUUUUUCGUCAAGUGUGCAAACACGAUUAAACAUUAAAAUCACUUAAGCAGUGCCGUGAUAGCUGGCCGGCUUUUGCAGGUGACGACACCAUCAGGUUGGUUUUACUGACCGCAACCAGCAGCACACACGCUGUGCGCAGUUUGCAGUGCUGGAGGUUUGCGUGUCGGCACGUAUCGUCGUCGUGAACUGUUUUUCACCCUUUCCGCAGCAGCAGCGCCACCGCAACCGGAAUUGGAAAGCAAUAGUUACUGCGAUCCUUUGGAUGGCACGGAGGGAACUUUUUCAACCCUGCCAUGCCGUACUUUUUAUUUUAGAAAGCAAAAUUAGUUAAUAAACAUACUAAAUAUUUAAAAUUGCCACUGAA
Molecule: long non-coding RNA, 1090 nt
Organism: Culex pipiens pallens (northern house mosquito)
Lineage: Eukaryota; Metazoa; Arthropoda; Insecta; Diptera; Culicidae
Exons: 2
Source: RefSeq, a predicted model, not a curated record